This is a long non-coding RNA of Magnolia sinica, 1648 nucleotides long. RefSeq lists it as uncharacterized. NCBI's taxonomy places the organism in Eukaryota, Viridiplantae, Streptophyta, Magnoliopsida, Magnoliales, Magnoliaceae. The record is from RefSeq and is a predicted model, not a curated record. The transcript is spliced from 6 exons.
UUUGGAUGACACCUGUAAUGUGUAUGGCACAAGCAUGGAUAUAUCAGUUCAAAGUGCUUCAUUAGAAUGCCUGAUUUUGUGUUUCAACAAGAAGUACAUUUAUUCAUUUUGAAAUACUUAUUCUGCAUUUUUGUCUACCUAAUUUAUGUUGAUCUGUAUGGCUGCAUAGUUGGAUAGUCUGCUGUGGUAGAGCCCUCUCUUUUACACAUGCUGCUCUAGGCUUUGAUGAAUGUUUUUUGGAGUUUUCUUUUUUUAACUGUUGGGAGGCUUAUUAUGGUGGUCUGAGCUGCCUUAUCAAUGUUUGUUUUGCUGCAUUCUUACAAGAAGAACACAGAGCUAGGGAUCUAUUUUAUGCCAUUUGGGUUCCUGACCUUUUCAUGAAAAGGGUGAACAGCAAUGGGGAGUGGUCAUUGUUUUGCCCAAAUGAGGCUCCAAGUUUAUCUGAUUGUUGGGGUGAGGAAUUUGAAGAACUGUACACUAGAUAUGAAAGAGAGGGCAAGGCAAAAAAAAGUUGUUCAGGCACAGACCCUAUGGUUUGAAAUUCUGAAAUCACAGAUAGAAACUGGAACACCGUAUAUGCUUUUCAAGGUAUUUUACCAAGUGAACAAAAGAUCCUCCAUAAUCAUUUAAAUCCCAUGGUUGUGUGGUUUUGAUGUUGAUUUGUUUAUUUAGGACACUUGCAAUAGUUCACAGACUGUUGUGCCUACUAUUACUCCUGCAGUAGUUGGAGAUCGGAGGAUAUUUUUAGGUCCUGGAGCAGGUUGUGCCGGCCUUGCUGCACAGCUAGAACUAGGAUAUCGCCAAGCAAGGGAUGUUGUGUGUGCCAACAAUGGUAUAAAGGUUCUUUUGCAUCUUCUCCAUCCUAAGAUAUUUACACCUCCAGCUUCUCUCGACUGCCUACGCGCUCUAGCAUGCCUAGUCCUGAUUGGUUGAGCCAGAGACAAUACAAUUGCACACAUAUUAACAAAGCUUCAGUGUGACUUGCAUCCUAAUAUGGGCCACGUAUAAUCAAAAUCCUUCCUAACCUCAGUGCAAGCAUCUGUUUCAAUUUCUCAAUGUUCAUCGAUCACCAGAUGGAAGGUGCUCCUAUCAAUUUUAGAGAAGUUCUUCUCUAAGUUUCUGAACUUGCCUGAUGUAAAUAGGAGGUUGAGGAAGAUCAUCUCCAUCCUCUCAAGCAACCAGCCUCCCUACCCUCAGCUGUAUCUGUACAGCACAGCUGACAAGGUCAUUCCAGCUAAGUCGGCAGAGUCUUUUAUUCAGGAGCAGAAGAAAUCUGGGAGAAAGGUGAAAUCGAAUGCAAUGGUUAAGGACACAGCUUUCUUGGGGGCAUCGCUCUCUAAUCAUCUCAAACCUGACUUCAAUCCUCUUAUCAUGAAGAAACUCCAAACUGAAACUAAUACAAAAUUGGAUUAGUCCCAUCUUGUAGCCAGCAGGCCAGAGCUACCUGUUGAGGUUGCAGGGGCCUGCUACGCAUAAUUCAAAUGGAGAAUGCUGGUAAAUGCAAUGAUGACAUUGGCCUGAAAGCAGCAAAAGAUGGACGGGCAGUGUUAUCUCAGGGUCUGCCAAGCACGACGGCACUGGUGAUGACGGGCGCGACCAUGACUUUGUAUUAUUUGUGGAACCUAAUGUUAUGUAACAUUUUGAUUGA